Molecule: long non-coding RNA, 243 nt
Filed under: Elaeis guineensis (African oil palm)
Lineage: Eukaryota; Viridiplantae; Streptophyta; Magnoliopsida; Arecales; Arecaceae
Description: long non-coding RNA (EGUI_LNC019480)
Source: RNAcentral
UACCAUAUCAUUCUUUGAACGCCAGACAAAGCCAUCAGAAAUUUCAAAAGAAAACAAAAGGGAAAGCAGAAAAGAGGUAGAAAAAGAAAGGUUCGAAGUGUGGCUAAAGCAGCAGGGAAUUUUCUUUUAACUUUAGACACAUACAUGUUUUUAAUAACUUUACACAUGUCUAUAUUUAUAUUUACAUACAUACAUACAUACAUACAUACAUACAUAUGAGUGCUAUCUCGUUGUCUCAAAAGA